GUCCACGCCCUAAACGAUGUCAACUAGUUGUUGGGUAUGUAAAUACUUAGUAACGCAGCUAACGCGAGAAGUUGACCUCCUGGGGAGUACGGUCGCAAGAUUAAAACUCAAAGAAAUUGACUGGGACCCGCACAAGCGGUGGAUGAUGUGUAUUAAUUCGAUGCAACGCGAAAACCUUACCUACCCUUGACAUGGAUAGAAUCCUGAAGAGAUUUAGGAGUGCUCGAAAGAGAACUAUUACACAGGUGCUGCAUGGCUGUCGU
RNAcentral lists this ribosomal RNA (263 nucleotides) under uncultured bacterium. Its description in RNAcentral is "partial 16S ribosomal RNA". It matches the Rfam family "Bacterial small subunit ribosomal RNA", at positions 793 to 1055 of the family's 1533-position model. The record is from RNAcentral.